GAAUGCCUUGUUUGUGCUUUUAUAUGAUUGUUGGAUUCCCUCUUGAAUUAACCAGUUACACAGGUUGAUCAUGAUUGUUUUUUCGCACUUCUCUACUUGCUUUGUUGUUUUUCUUUUAGUAAGAAUCAGUAUAUAGUUUCUGGUUUCUUUCAUUUUUAUUUUGCAUGCAGCGCUCAAAGAAUUUAAAAUUGGGAUUUACUGAAGAACGAAAGAUUUAUCCUCCAAUUGCAUUUGCCGCCUUCUAGCAAUUCAAUAUCAAAAUAUGAUAAGAGAUUAAGAUGAUGAAAGAAAGGGGGAAAAGAGUCUCUUGAAAUUUGACAGAAGAAUUUAUUGAAUCCAAUCCUAUACGUGUGGGUAGAACUGAUGUAUUAGUACUUUUAUUUGUGUGAUGACGUAUUUUGUUAGGACAGGAGAAGUGUUAAUUUUCUGUUUUAUGCAAAACAUUAGGAACUUUUGAUAUAGAUAUAUAUAUCGGAAUGAUCUUCUAAGCAUUUAAUUG
Molecule: long non-coding RNA, 499 nt
Filed under: Olea europaea (common olive)
Lineage: Eukaryota; Viridiplantae; Streptophyta; Magnoliopsida; Lamiales; Oleaceae
Description: long non-coding RNA (OEUR_LNC003431)
Source: RNAcentral